Molecule: long non-coding RNA, 547 nt
Filed under: Bos taurus (domestic cattle)
Lineage: Eukaryota; Metazoa; Chordata; Mammalia; Artiodactyla; Bovidae
Description: long non-coding RNA NONBTAT006883
Source: RNAcentral
CUGGUUUGCUUAUCUAGUAAACUGACUGCUCCAUUAGAUCCAGAUGAGUGUAUCACCAGUGUUUUGCUCAGCACAUCUCCUCGUUUGUAUGGAUUUAUGUCAUUCCCAGACUAGAUGCCAGGGAGUUGAGUGCAUGGCAAAACGAAGAAAUACUGGUGGCAAAGAAGUCUCAGGAUAAGUGAUCUAGUAAUAGUGGCCAGUGGUUCUUCUGAAUCUUGUUUCCUCAAGUUGUUAACUUCAGGGAGAAAUAAGAUUGCUUGCAUUAGGAUAGAUCCUGGAUUUCAUUUUGAUAAUGAAUUAAAGUGAAAUGAUCAUCCAUGAUGUAGCUGUGAAUAAAUGUGGUAUUGAUCAGAGAACACAGACUUGCACACUUCCAUUAGCAACUUAAGAAUAGUGAAAUAGAUCUAAGAUUUUGUUCCUUAUUUUCAAUUUGAAAACAAGUGAAUGAAAGACUUAUCAAGGUGCACAGCAUUUUGCUGGAUCCUGUGGAUGACGUUUGAGGGAAGACCUAGUCUCUGCCCUUAAGAUUAUUACCUUGUAUAGUUGG